AGACGUGGAGUGUGUGCGCCAAAGGACGACCAGGGUACAUUGUGUACCUUUCAAGAAGAACGCGGCCCAGUGCUAAAGUUUAUUCAGUGAUACUGUGCUUUUCUCUCUUGCCGGAGGUAGAUAUAUCCUCGUGUUUCCUUGCGCGCGAGAAUCGAGCAGGGGAGGGGAGGGGAACAUUGGAGUGGAGGAAAGGGGGGUGAAAUGCUUUUAUGAGUCAGCUCAGUGUUUUUCUGUGCCGCCUCGGAGCAGAGAAGGAAGAACUGUUACUUCUGUGGCCGGGCCGACGUGCCUCUCUGACUCUGACUGUGAAAACGUGUGCCACUAUCAUCGGUCAUCACCAAAUGGCAAAUGGCUGUAGGGAGACAAACCACAAACAGUAGGAACACUAGCGGUGCUGACGCUGUAAUCUCUCUCGUAACACGAUUUGUUGCAUAAUAUCGACAUCUUUUUCGUCACAUGUAAAGGUUGGUAAGACGAUACUGUUGUGAAUUUUCGCUGUUCGGAUUGGUGCUGACUGCGUUUGUUGAGGUGUGUGUGUGUGUGUUUGUGUGUGUGUGUUGUCAUUCGUCGGAUUCUAUCUUGCUGUUUCGAGCACGGAUAGCGUCUUCUGGAGAUUUCUCCUUGCGGGACUAGAUGGAGAAUAAUCAAGACUUUGACUUGGAGUUACUUGACCAAGAGCUUGACAAGAUAGGAGGAACUGUAAGUACAGAUAUGUUUUUAUCAUUACGUCGUGUUAGUCUGUAUGUGUGUGUGAGAGUGUCUGAGUGUGUGUGUAUGUGUAUGUCGUAUGUGUUUGUUUGUAUGUGUGUGUGUUUGUAUAUAUGUGUGAACCG
RNAcentral lists this long non-coding RNA (833 nucleotides) under Aplysia californica (California sea hare). RNAcentral's name for it is "uncharacterized LOC101847219, transcript variant X2". The record is from RNAcentral. Lineage: Eukaryota; Metazoa; Mollusca; Gastropoda; Aplysiida; Aplysiidae.